UGCACCGCCAGGAGGUCCCAUUAGUCCCCCAAAUUGGGAGGAUGACAACGCAGAGGUGAGGACCCACAUGUUGUUGUCAUUUCUGAUUUGUGGGAGGGGAAGGGAUAAAGAAGUGCUGCACAACUCACUUGUCUUAGGUGGGUGCCACGGGCAGCUGGCUGGAAGCACAGCCCUUGCUGGGAAGCUCCAAGUUGUCCAUUCCUGCAAGUCCCUCCUUGCUGGUGUCCAUAGAGGGAGAAGCCCUUGCCAGGAUGGACCUGGCAGAUCCAUAUGUUUCUUGGAAUUCUAGCACUGACUGAUAGAGUUCUUUAUUCCCAAUGCCUGUUGUGGUUUCCUUUCUUCAGCAGCUCUUUCAUCUAACAUGAAGUGCUUAGAGUUAAAAUAGCAGAAUUUGCCAGUUUAAAAGAGAACAAGGGAACGAAACAGCUCCAGCCCAAAUUGCAUUAGGGCACAGGAAGAGGGGAGGAGGGAGGAGGGUUUUCAGGUGGUUCCUAAGCUAUCUCUGUUUGUACCCUGUUGAGAGCAGAAUCAGCAGCAGCCACUUGGUUGUUUUCAGGGCAGCAGCUGUUUGUGCUCCUGCUUUGAAUGCUCUUAAGCCAACUUGGAGGCUGAUAGCCUAGCCUUCCUCACUCCUCUGCUAGAACUGCUUUCUGAGCUGAGGUUUGCAUGCAGCACAGGGGGCUCACCCAAUCUAAUUGUAUUUUCUUUUCUUUCCCUUCUCAUGUGCAUCAAUGGAAGUUUCCUGAAGUGCAUGGAGAAGAAAGGAGAACUGCUGCACUGAACAGCCAGGAACAGGUGGAUGGCUCUGCUGAUGGCACAGGAGCUAAUGACUCACCUGUGGCUGAUGCAGCCCCUGCAGAACACGGAGCAGAGGAGCAUGCUGGAAGUUCAGCUGCAGAGCCAGGAGUUGUCAUUAGCUGUCCAAUUUGCAUGGACUAUUACUCAGAGGUAAGGAUGCACCUCUUGUCAUGCUUUGUGCUUUGUGGGAGGAGGAAGAAGCCAAAAGGGGAGUUGCCCAAGUCAGCUGGCUGAUGUGGGCAGCUGGCUGGAAGCACAGCCCUUGCUGGGAAGCUCCACAAGUCCCUUCUUGCUGGUGAAUGGAGAGGGAGAAGCCCUUGCCAGGAUGGCACUGGCAGAUCUGUGGGUCCCUCCUGGCUUCUAACUGAUUCCAGAUGCUCUCAAGUCUCAUUUGCCUGCUGCCAAUAGAGCAGAAAACUCCAAUUCUUUCCUCCCAAUACAUGUGGUUGUUGUUUCCUUUCUUCCAGAUCAUGCAAAAUGGACGACAGCUUGUGACAACUGUGUGUGGCCACGUGUUCUGCAGUGGGUGCCUCCCUGCUGCCCUGGAGAACACCGGCAUGUGCCCAAUGUGCGGCGUGCAACUCGAUCCAGGGUUGUACUUUCCUAUUUAUUUAUGAGUGCUUCUGCUGCUCAGGACAGUCUCAGGUGGACCUUGAAGAACAGGCGGUGCAGAGGCUUGCUUCUUUCUGUAUAUAGUUUUUUUCUGUACAUAGUUUCAUGUUUUCUGCGUUCAGUUAUACAUAAAGUUUUGAUUGAUUUAAAUCUAGUCUGUCUGCUCUUCUGUGUUGGACUGUGCUGAUAAACAGAGAUGUUGUUUACCAGGUGGAAAUCAGGCUCUUGGUUUGAGCAGUCAGAAGCUCGUUCUUUUCAUCAUACCGUAGUCACUGAUUUGGGGGAAAUGUGCUAAAGCCAUGGGCUUUGUAGUUCUUGUGGCCAACAAAUAAUAAUUGAAUAGUAAUUGUGGCAAAUAAAGUGUGUCUUGUACAGGGAAAAGAAACA
Long non-coding RNA from Cyanistes caeruleus (blue tit), 1797 nucleotides. The record is from Ensembl. NCBI's taxonomy places the organism in Eukaryota, Metazoa, Chordata, Aves, Passeriformes, Paridae.